RNAcentral lists this unclassified non-coding RNA (4315 nucleotides) under Leishmania donovani. RNAcentral's name for it is "gene:LdHU3.07.0980(CDS-product:HEAT-like_repeat_p utative)". The record is from RNAcentral. Lineage: Eukaryota; Euglenozoa; Kinetoplastea; Trypanosomatida; Trypanosomatidae.
CCUAGCACUUAGUGAAGCUCGCCGGCUUGCUUGUGCCUCAACCUGCCCAGGCACGAGGCCCGCGCGCACGGCUCUCGCAGCAAUCGCCAUCAAGCAGCGCGGCACUCUCGUGCACUACCGCCGAAGAGGAUCUCGGUGGUUCAGCGAACCUGCAGGGCGCCACCGCCUCCGUGUGCGAGGCCGCGGGCCCUUCAACCGCCUCCUCCCUACCCCACUUUACGCCCGUGGCCCGUCGAGGUUGAGGGAGAAGCGAUGCAGACCGGCAACCCUCUCUACACGGCCGACGAGCUGUGCACCAUCAUCGCGAAGAUUUUGCACGGCGCCGACAACGCCGAGCGCCGCCGCAACGAGGCCGAGCUCACAACUGCGCUCCAGCAGCCCCCAAACGUGGGUCACUUGGUGACGAUCCUGUGCGGCACCCCGGAUGGCACGCCGCCCACGGCGUCGGCCGGCGUUCGCCAGAUGGCGGCUGUGCUGCUGCGCAAGCGCAUCUUUUCUCUUUGGCGUGUGCUGACGACGGAGCAGCAGCAUCAGCUGCGACACCUGCUUCUGCAGCGGCUGGGUGACGAGACAACGCGUCCGGUUCGCUUCGCCAUCGCCCACGUCGUGACUCGACUGGCAAAGGCAGACGCCAACCGUGGCGGCGACGGGUGGCCAGAGCUGCAGCACGCGAUCCGUGCUGCCGCGGACGACACGCGAGUGGAGAUGCGCGAGCUGGCGAUGGUGCUGCUCUACAGCUUCGGCGAGGUGUUCACGGAGGAGAACGCGCUGAGCGGGCUGGCGGCCGAGUCUGUCGUGCGCGGCCUGGACGACAACGAGACGGUGGUGCAGGCCGCGGCGGUGAAGGCGGCUAUGGUGCUGCUGCCGACCCUGCACGAGCACCCCACGGUGCGCAACGCGUUUCUCGCGCACCUAGUACCUACCUGCAUUGGCUUGCUGGAGAGCGGCGCGGCGACGGAGGCCAAGGUCCCGCUGUGCGUCAGCGUUCUCGACUUGUUUGAGCAGCUCUUCGAUGACCUGCCCGUGAAGAAGUACGGCGCGUUGGUCCAGGAUGUAGCGCAGGCGCUGAUGCGACUCGUGGCGAACCCGCAGCACCACCCUCGCGUCCGCGAGAAUUGUGGGACAGCAUUGGGGCAGUUGGCGACGCUGAAGCCAAAAUUUGUGGCGGCGCCGGCCCUGCUGGAGCCGCUGGUGCAGGUGUGCCUCGGGCUCAUGUCGGAGGACAACACCAUCUCCAUCUCGGACCAGGGCAGCGGCGGCGUGGAGGACGAGGACGUGGACGGCAGCGACGACGAUGUGGACAUGCUGCACGCCACGUCCGCCUGCAUGGUGGGCUGCCAGCUGCUGAGCGCGCUUGCGACGACCGUGCCCAGCAAGGCGUUCACGGCGGUGCUGCUGCCGUACAUUUCGAGGGUGACGGACGCGCCGGCGAGUGUGGACGCCCGCACCCGCAAGGCCACGAUGAUCGCACUUGCCUGCCUUGCCGAGGGACACGCUAGCUAUCUGCGUCGCCGUGUCGGGUAUGUGCUGACGGUGACGCGCGGCUUCCUGUGCGACGCGGAUCCGGCUCCUCGUGAGGCCGCCGCCUUUGCCCUUUCAUCCUUCUGCGGCCAUCUGCAGCCCGAAAUCCUGCUGCACCACGAAAAGCUACUGCCGAUGGUAGUCCCGCUGCUGGAGGACACGAGCGACCUUGUGCGCCGCCGCGUCGCCCAGGCGCUGGACACCCUGUGCGAGAAUCUGCAGGAGAACCUCGACCGCUACGUGCCGACGCUGCUGCCGGCCGUGAUGGCGGCGAUCCCGAUCAGCUCGCUGGAGACGCAGUGCCGUUUGUGCGGCGUGCUCUCGUCGAUGGGCAUGGCUCACUCGGCUGCUUUCGCGAGCCGCGGGCCGGAGCUGCUCGAGGUUUUGCGGCAGCCCUUUGGUUUGAAGACCCCGGAGACGAUGGCGCUCCGGGCGCAGGUGACCGAGACAGUCGGCGUCAUUGGCUCCGCGAUGGGCCGCGCCGCCUUUGCCAAUUACUUUCCCUUCUUCAUGCAGGAGGUCGUGGCGAACCUGCAGACGCGCCACGCAGCGCUGCGGGAGCAGAGCUUCGGCUUCCUGGCCAACAUGUGCGAGCUGUUUCGCGAGGACUUCGCGCCGUACCUGAGUGACUCCAUCCACUGCGCCCUAGAGACGAUCACCGAGGACCGGGCAGUGUACAAGAACAAGCAUCCGCUGGCCAGCGACGGCAGCGGUGAUGCGCUUGCUGCCUUUGCUGCCUGGAAGGACAACGGCGAAGACGAUGACGAGAGCGACGAGGACGGAGGCGACGACGCGGAGGAGAUUCACCUGCGCGUGCGCACCGCUGACGUCGAGGAGAAGUCCUCUGCCGUGUACUGCGUCGGCGUGUUUGCGGAUGUCAUGAUGGGCCAGCUCGGGGAGGCGCAGACGACAGCGUGCUGGGAGGCGCUGACGGGGCUGGACUCGCACUAUUACCCGAACAUCCGCUCCAACGCCCUCAUCGCGCUGGCGAAGCUCGCUAAGGCGUCUGCAGGUCUCCCAGCAGAGGCGAUGCAGGCGCGCAGCCGGGCCGCCAUCGUGGCGAGGCGCACCGGUGCUGCUGACAGCAGCGGCAGCCUCGUGCAAGAUGUUCUACCGCUGCCGGUUCGCGACCGCAUUGAUGAGCUGCUGAACCUACUGCUUCGCACGAUAGAGGAGGAGGACGCGGAGAGCGAGGUCGUCGGCGCCGCGUGCGAAGCGGUGUCGAUUGUGAUGGACUACUUUGGCACUCAGUGCGCCAUCGAGGGCCCGGAUGCCGUUCUGCGGGAUGUGGUGCAGCUGCUGCGCGGGACGAUGCCGUGCCAGCGCCGCGGCAACGAGCUUGAGGACGACGACGAGUGCAGCGAGGACGACGGCGCCGACAAUAUGAGCUAUGAGCAGUACCAGCAGCUGCGACAGCAGAGGGGUGACUCUACAAGUGCGGACAGAGCACACUACCUGCAGGGCAGAGACCCGUUCUUUCGGCGCGCGGACGAGGCGGCUGAGGCGCAGGCUUCCGCGAUUAUGGCUGCGAUGGCGCAGCAUCAGCAGAACGGUGACGCGGCUGCUCCGCCGUCCUCGCCGCUGCCGUCCGCGGCUGCACUGCCACCGUGGUACAUGCUUGUUGCACCAGAGAUGGUGAAGCGCGGCGUCCACCUGCCCGAAGACCACGACGGGGUCGUCCUGGACGCUACCGCGGAGAUGCUCGAAAGCGUUGCCAAGGCGUACGGCGCGCUGCUGCAGCCCUAUAUGCCCUACCUGGUCCCUCUGCUCGCCAUGCACGCCGACGUGGGGACGCGGCCCCCGGAAGGACUCGUGACCGCCGUGGGCACCCUCGCCACCGUGCUGCAGGCGUACGGCUCCGUCGACACCAAUGGCGAUGGUGCUGCGUCGCCGGCGUCGGAGCAGCUGCUGGCGCCAUUCGUCGAGACAGCCGCGCAGCUGAGUUUCAGCGUCAUGGCAGGCUCAGACGAGUCCACCGCAAAGGCGAACAGCGCGUAUCUCCUACGCAUCCUUGUGGAGGGCUGCCCGAGUUUCUUCACACAGCAGCCCGCCGUCGUGCCGCAGUGCUUCCAGGCCCUCUGGUCCAUAGUCGGCAACGAGGAGGACGAGAUACCGGAGGCGGUCGACAACGCGGUCAGCGCCACCUGCUCCUUCGUCCGCUGCCUUCCGCUGUCGCUGCUGCCCAUCGACCAGGUCAUCCCUCCCCUCAUGGCGCACCUGCCUAUGAAGAUAGAUAAAGCAGAGAACCCGAACGCGGUGCGGACACUGUGCUAUCUGCUGGGCAAUGACCAUGCCGCCUCGACCGCAGCGGUGUCGAGCUGGUUACCGUCCGUGGUCGGUGCCGUCGCGAACGUGCUCGCCGCGGCAACCGUGGAGGAUGCUGAUAAGCAGCGCCUGGUGCAGCAGGGCGCGUCAGUCUUCGCGCAAGCUCACCCGCAGGCAUGGCGGCAGCAGCAGCAGCAGCAGCAGGGCUUGUCGGACGGGCAGCGCGCAGUGCUGCAGGCAUGGCAGCUGUGAAGUACAGCUCUGCCAAGGAUCUCAGAGGGGGGACGAGGGGCAUGAGGCGGCGAACAUUCCUCAUUUGCGGACCCUCUCCUGCUCUCCUAUACCGCCGCCGACACCAGAGACUCGCUGCCGACGUUGUCUUCUCUAUCCCUCUCUUGUGUGGGCGCCAGUACUUGGAGUGCGUUGUAACGCGUAAAGUAGCGUCGAUAACGACGGAAAUUUAAGUGGUGUGUCUGCGCAUAUGUUUAUGUGUCUUUAACACUCGUCGACGUGACCCUUCCCCUCUCCG